GGAGCGGGCACGCGCCCUUUCGCGGUAACGUUCUCGCGUCCCUGGGUCGUCGGCGGCGCGGCGUGCGCGCGCGUGAGCACACAUGGAACCGGGAAUCGCCAAAGGACAGGACAGAAGUGCUGAGGAAUUUUCACCCCUGAGAGCAGCCUUCAACCAAUGACAAAUGGAAGCUGAAGGAUAUAUACAUAUACCACCUGUGGCAGGCUGGAAAAUGUCCUCUGAAGACAUCAGGCCCUGAAACUAUUGAAUUUUAUGUUGUAGAGCCAAAGCGGCCAUAGAACACUAAUAUACCAACAUUUAUACUAAUAAGUAUACCAAUGUCCUCACUCCUGAGAAGCAGGACAACUCGGAGGCAUCUUCCACAUUGUCUCCAGGAGUCUACAGAAGGGCUGAGCCCCACCUGCAGAGGUAACUUACCCAUCAGCCCACUCUGUUACUGGCCUUCUCUCCCCAGUCUCACUUCCCCACUCUGCUAUCAGUGGUUCCAGGUCUCUCCUUCAAGAUAAACCACAUACUCUCAAAUCCUUGUGUAUUAGUUUCCUGGAGCUGCUGUAACAAAGUACCAUAAAUUGUGUGGCUUAAAACAACAGAAGUUUAUUCUCUCACAGUUCUGGAGGCCAGAAGUUGGAAAUACAGUAAAGGUGUUGGUGCGAUUGGUUCCUCUUCAGGGCUCUGAGGAAAAGUCUCUUCCAUGCAUCUCUCCUAGCUUCUGGUGAUGGCUGACGACCCAUGGCAUUCUUUGGUUUGUAAAUGCGUCACUCCAGUCUCUGCCUCCAUCUUUACAUAGCAUUCUCCCUGUGUCUCUGUGUCUUCACGUGGCCAUCUUCCCCUCAUAUAAGAACACUGGUUAUAUUGGAUCAAGAACCCACUCUGAUGACCAUAUCACAACUUUAAUUACAUGUGCAAAGACCCUAUUUCCAAAUAAGGUCACAUUUAUAGGUACCAGGGAUGCGAAUUUUAAUAUCUUUUAUGGGGCACACAAUUCAACUCAUAACACCUUGACUCAGGGUCAGAUUCGGGGACCCCCAACCUAAGACAAUUAUCACUUAUGAAGCACUUUUUAUAUUUCCCUAAAUAUAAUUAUCUUACUUUAUCCUCAAUAAUCUUAUGAGAUAAAUAUUGGCUCCAUUUUAAAGUUAAUAAAUCUGAGGAUUAGAUACUAUAGUGUAGUCAAGUCAUUGUUGUAUCAGGUGAGAAGUGUAAUAAGAUGCCAGUCCCACCAGUGGGAGUGGUUUUCAGCAA
Molecule: long non-coding RNA, 1242 nt
Organism: Lagenorhynchus albirostris (white-beaked dolphin)
Lineage: Eukaryota; Metazoa; Chordata; Mammalia; Artiodactyla; Delphinidae
Exons: 3
Source: RefSeq, a predicted model, not a curated record